AUUGAACGCUGGCGGCAUGCCUUACACAUGCAAGUCGAACGGCAGCGGACCUUCGGGUGCCGGCGAGUGGCGAACGGGUGAGUAAUAUAUCGGAACGUACCUUUCAGUGGGGGAUAACGUAGCGAAAGUUACGCUAAUACCGCAUAUUCUGUGAGCAGGAAAGCAGGGGAUCGCAAGACCUUGCGCUGAUUGAGCGGCCGAUAUCAGAUUAGCUAGUUGGUGAGGUAAAGGCUCACCAAGGCGACGAUCUGUAGCGGGUCUGAGAGGAUGAUCCGCCACACUGGAACUGAGACACGGUCCAGACUCCUACGGGAGGCAGCAGUGGGGAAUAUUGCGCAAUGGGCGAAAGCCUGACGCAGCAACGCCGCGUGGGUGAAGAAGGUCUUCGGAUCGUAAAGCCCUGUCAGGAGGGACGAAACGAAAUGACGGUACCUCCAAAGGAAGCACUGGCUAACUCCGUGCCAGCAGCCGCGGUAAAGUCGU
RNAcentral lists this ribosomal RNA (483 nucleotides) under uncultured bacterium. RNAcentral's name for it is "bacterial SSU rRNA". It matches the Rfam family "Bacterial small subunit ribosomal RNA", at positions 30 to 528 of the family's 1533-position model. The record is from RNAcentral.